GCUUACUUCAGCUGAACAUAAACUAAAAUAGGAACGAUACAGAGAAGAUGAACAUGGCCCCUGUGCAAGGAUGACAUGCAAAUUCGAGAAGCAUUCCAUAUUGUU
RNAcentral lists this small nuclear RNA (105 nucleotides) under Dasypus novemcinctus (nine-banded armadillo). Lineage: Eukaryota; Metazoa; Chordata; Mammalia; Cingulata; Dasypodidae. The record is from RNAcentral.